GAGAGAGAGAGAGAGAGAAUUGAAAUCGCAGAGUUACAUACUCUAAAAAAUCAAUUUUUCCACUAUCCCACAUUUUCUCGGAGACCAAACAGGGAAACGGAAAUGAAUUUACGAAGAAAUAAACAGAAAUUACCGACACUAAGCAUCAAAAAACAAAUAAAAGAAUAGACCUAAAGUUUUGAUCUUUUGAAGAUAAAAAGUUGAAGAUAAAAAGUUCAAACCUGGAAUGCUGCAGUAAUCGCGAU
RNAcentral lists this unclassified non-coding RNA (245 nucleotides) under Hevea brasiliensis (rubber tree). Lineage: Eukaryota; Viridiplantae; Streptophyta; Magnoliopsida; Malpighiales; Euphorbiaceae. The record is from RNAcentral.